AUUAAGAUUAAAGAUAAUGAGCAGUUGACCAGCUUCCACUAUUAAUUUUCAUCAGUAACUUUGCUUUAGUUAUAGCUCUCUCUUUGAGGAAAUAAAAUUAGUCUAGGUGUAGUCUACCUAGACUGCAGUUGUAGAAUGUAUAACUUUGCACUUGAUUUUGCUGUGUUCCAGAAACUAAGACAGUAAGAGAAAGAAAUGGGUAUGCUGUGAAAUAUAAAGCUAACAGCUGUUUAGGCCUAUUGGCAUUGGUUUUAUUUGUUGUUACCUAAGUAGGCACUAAAAAGAGAAACCUACUGAUGGCCUCUGCAGCUCUUCCAUGGGCCAUGCCAACAAUGUAACAGAAAGUCAAUAAUUUGGGUUUUGUAUCCACUUCGUUAAAACAUCUCACCCAAGUAAAAACUGCAAAUUACAUUUUUGCAUCUUUGUCUUAAUCAAAUUUAAAAGCCCUAGGUAAAGGUGUUUGUUUAUCACACCCCCUGAAGUAUGGGCACUCAGCAGCUGAGAGCUGGAACCAGAGGGGAAGUUCCCAGUCAACUAGAAGAACAAAGCAUGUGUAUGAACUGGUACUUCACGCUUCUGCCUUACAUCUGAAGAAGGAUCAUGCAAUUACCUUUACUGAGUUACUUGCAUUUGGAUUCUUGGCACUUCUGGAAGAAAAAAAAAGAUCUUGAGAAGAUUAAAAGUAUUGCAGACCACAGAGAGGAGGACAGUCAAGGAGGAAAGGUGGGAAACAACAGUGUGAGGGACUCAUGGAGGAAACUGAUACCAACUUUUCCUGGGAUGUGAUUACUUCAGAGUGGACUGGAAGGAGUAUUGGUACAUGGGCCCCAAAUGUAACCACCAUUGGAACACUCUAGAUUUGAUUUUAGUAACUAUUCUUCCUGCAGUAGCACUGGUUAUCAUAGUUGUUGUAAUAUUUUACUGCGUCUACUAUUGUAAAAAUGAAAAAGCUGGGUAAGUUACUCUGGAUGCAGUUAAAAAGUUUUUUAUAAUCAAAAUGGAAGGAAAGCAAAAGAAGUCUGGUAUUCUGAUUAUUUUUUAACCUCUGGAUAUUUAAAUCAACAAGCUUGCCAUAUAGCAUCCUCUGCCAAACUACUGUUUACGCAGUUUAAAACUAAAUCAAAGCAUCUUACCAGAGCACUUAACAGCUUUUUACUGCUGCGUGCAGAACGUCACUCUUAAGUCAUUGCUUGUCUUCUUUAGGGCUAACCAGGCAAGCUUUAAAGAUUGAUAAGUACAUUUACUACUUUAACUCUAGACUACCAAAUCUGUCUUGCUGAUUUGUUUGCUAUUAAGGGUUGGCUUGCUUUCCACAAGUUUAAAAAAAAAAAAAAAAAAAAGAAAAAGGUUUAAAAAAAAAAAAAACCAAAUUUUUUAUUUCCUUGGGAGAGGUAUCAUUAAAAAAAAAAAAAACCAAAAUGGCCAUUGACUUGGGACAGGGAUAAUUUAAAAAAAAAAAAAAAAAAAGGAAAUAAGACCGAUAAACUGACAAGAGUCUUGGCAAUUAAACACUAUGUCUCCCAUUCUUUGGUGCUAGGCAUUGGCAAUUUGAGCUGGUUUUUUGCUUUCAACACUUUAUCUUUUUUUUUUUUUUUUUCAAUGAUACCUGUCCCAAGUACAUAGACAAUAUGGUUUUUUUUCUUCUUUCAUUGAGGCCCAUUAGUGUGUAUCACUGGUACAUCCUCUGUCGUAGAAAAAUUGUAUGAUAUGGCUGUUGAACCAAUCUGCAGUACAAAAAGAUUUGUCAAAACUAUUGCUAAUGCUCUAAAUUCAUGUUGUUCCCCCAACCAGGAACCAGACAAAUCCUCCGUACCAUGAAACACAACAUAACCUCGCAUUUACUGCUGAAAUGGCUGGUAACUUGGGGCACAUUUAUCAGUAGUCGCCAAGGGUAAGAGAUGUUGGCAUGUGAGACGUAUCACAUGUUCCUAAUUCUAGUGGAAGUCAGACAUGAUUUUGUGAUUCAACAGAAUGGUAUACAAAUAGCAAAAAAAAGGUAAUCUGGUAAAAUUAAAGGUAAUCUGAGUUUAAAAUCUUCUUUUUAUUUGCCCAGUAUUUGAUUUCCAGGAUCAUCUAAAUGCAUGUGAGAAGGUGAAACUCUCCAUCAAGGAUGAAGUGAAUCUAAUUUGUAUAGGAGAAAACAAAGAACUAGGGUUAUUUUAAAAGGAUGUUCAAAUAUUUCUUUUUAGGCCAGUUAGAAGACCAACAUUAAGAAGAGAGGUAAUUUGGAUAUGAGGUCAAGCCACAUGCUAUAACCUCUUCCCUUGUAUCAUCAUUGUGCUGUUCCAGCUGCUGCGUGAGCUAGUUUCAGCCUGAUCAGCUCAUCAACUAGGUUGCUGAAUGCUAUUACUGGUACUAGUGCCUGUGCCAGGAAAGGGACGGGAGUACAUAGCCAGAGGGCAAGAGUUUGGUAUGCUGUUCAGACUUCAACCAAUUUCAGCUUCGGAAAAGCCCUGCCUACAAUUUCAUUUGACUGUUUAUUUGUUAUACUUCACCAGAGGAAGGGUUGGCUAUUUGUCUUGAAGGUUUUUUGUUUGUAUGAGGAUUGUCAGCAAAGUUCCAGGAGGAUUUGUGUAGUGUUCAUGUAAGAACAGGUAAAAGGUAGUGCUAGUAAGGUGACAUGUUUUGCUGAUGAUACCAUAGUACUUGGACUAGUCAAGAAUAAGCCUUACUAUGAGGAAGUACAGGAGGAGGAUAUUACAAUGAUUGACUGGACAAGAAAAUGACAAAUGAAAUGUAUUGUUUAUAAAUGCAAACUAAUGCAUGUAGAAAAGAAGUUUUAGCUUUGUGUACCUGGCAGUCAUCUCUAAAUGAGAAAUUAGAACUUAGAAGGGGUGUAUGGAGUAUUGUUCUGUGAAAAAGUUUGUUUUGCUAGGGAUUUUUGGGAGAAACUGAAAACAAUACGAGGAACAUUGUAAUUAUGCCUACAUUUUGACUACUGAAAGUAAUUUUGAGCACCCACCUCAGUGAGCAAUGUAGUACGUCUAGAAUUUCAGGGUCAUCAGUACUGAUUUCUGCAUAAGGAAAGGUUGUGUGAGAAAUUACUGUUCUCUGCUUUUAAUGUAAGAACUAGGCAACGUCAAAUAAAAUCAGGCAGAAGUUUUAAACAAACAAACAGUGCUUUUUGAUAAAGUGCAUAAUCCAGCAGUAUGUGCUGACAGUGUAAAUUAGCUUUUAAAAAGUAAGACAUCUAUUCAGGGAGGCAGAGGCGUUCAGAUUGGAUGUGUGCUUUCAGGUGGGUAACAUCCUGGCUGUUCCACUUACUGGGCUGUGGUUCACACCUUGGAGCAGCCUGGGAGUGCACCAGUGGAUUCCCUUCAGAUUAACCAGAAUAUAAGCUUCAAUCUCCAAUGAACAUUCAGUGCCCAGGCCAAACUAGACAUAUUCUGAAAAGCAAACCCUUCUGAAGCGCGUAGUGUCAGUGUGGGGUCCCACUUGUAUUAGUCUACUUUAUUUGCUGCUGCAAAUGCAGCCACAGACUCCACUCCAGCUCAGUCAGUUAAUGACUUUGAUGCUGCUGGCUAGAAGUUGUUGAUGUACUGGCAGUACUUCGGGUACUUACACUGUUUGCAUAUUUUUUCUUUAUGCUUCCAUUACUGGCUGUUCUCGGUGUGUUAGGUGGCCUGACCCAGUCUCUUCCUAUAUUCUAUUUCUAUUUGUGCAAAAGUAAAUUUUGCAAGUACGAGAUGUGUCAGAGUACAGGUAGAGAGGCCUAGUAAAGAUUUGAUCCAUGUUGGUUGCUUUGAAGACAAGAAAUGGGGCUUAUUUUUGUAAUGAAGUUGUAUGUAGUCACCAGCUGGUGCAAAGCAGCAUAAUUGCACAAAUCAAUUAAGACAAACCAGGUGGUACUAGCUGAGAAUCUGACCCUUUGUGAAUAAACACCACACAGUUCUGCAGGCCCAGAGUCUAAGGUUAAAACUUUAUGAAAAUGAGUAACGUUUCUUUCAAAGAUAUUUUAUUCAAUUGGAAGUGGAAUGAAAAAUCACGGAACAGGUUAAGUUGCAAUAAUGUGACCCUUCUUUCCUUUUCAUGGUGUGAGCGAUGCUGUUGAAUGAUGUUUUUGGAGCCUGGGGGGAGGAUCAGUGUAGAUGUCCAGAAGGAUAGGGCUGUACCAAAUGCAUUGUUUAUCUUUGUCAUCUCUCAGCUGCAUAAUCUAUGAAUGAUAGUACAUAACUGCUUGUAGUACGUAACAUCAGCAUUGUUGGCAGAGUUCUAGCCCUAUUUGUUUAAAAUUUACUGCCUACAACUGUGUUAGGUUUGGGGCUAGAAUAUUUAACCAUUUCCUGGUAUAUUAUUUUUUUCUAGAAAGAAGAAACUCCCUAAAUCAAAUAUGAAAUUAAUUUACCUGCAUCACCUUUGUAAUAGAAUAUUACACUGUGACCUUUACAACAUUCCUGUGAGACAGAGUGUAGACAGAGGCAUUUAUAGGAUUACAAAAGUAAUCUGUGAUGCAGCUGGGAUUUGAGCUUUGGUCCCCAAAGGGCCAGAUGCUGCCUUUUUGGCUAGGCUAAUGCCCUGCCAUGCCAAUUUUUCUCCAUUAGGCAAGAUGCUCUUUAUAGUAGAGAUCACUGCUUGAACUAGUGGGUAUCACAAAAAAAGAUGGAUAAAUGCAUUUCAAAAACAGAACGGGAAAUGUGAAAUACAGAGAAACAUGAAAGGGAUAUAUAUUUGUGUGUGUGUGUGUGUGUGUGUGUUCGCUUCCUCAUUCGGUACCUUAAGUGAUUAUUUUACAUAUUAAGGAGUGUAUAGUGUCUGAGAAGAAGACAUUGUAGGCUGUCACAGAAAAGAAAAGCAAUUAAUGUAGCCAGAUACGUUAUUUCCUGUUAAAUAUAUUUGUAAAGUACUAGUAUCUUGGAAAUGCAGUGGGGAAAAAAAAUGAGGCAUGAGCCCACCUUCACCAGGAGAUGGUGCUGUUUAAUUUUUCACUAAUUCUGAAUUUCGUUCAACUGAUGCUGUCAUUUUCAAGGUGUGAAUUACACCAAAUCCUGCACACUUUGCUAGGGAAGAAAACCUACUGUAAAAGGAACUGCUCUGGGUAAGGGCUACAGUACUUACUACUUUGUCAUGCUCCAGACUGCAAGUUGCAGCCCAGAGGCAGUCCGUGGGACGUUUCUGCCUGCCUCAUCUCCUCACUAGAUGCGGUGGUUGUGAAAACGUGAGCUUGUAAAAAGCCCGUUGUUAAUUGUCUGAGCUUUUGCUUUCAUGCCAACAAGGCAGGCC
Buteo japonicus is the source of this 5220-nucleotide long non-coding RNA. The record is from Ensembl. Lineage: Eukaryota; Metazoa; Chordata; Aves; Accipitriformes; Accipitridae.